RNAcentral lists this ribosomal RNA (465 nucleotides) under uncultured bacterium. RNAcentral describes it as "partial 16S ribosomal RNA". It matches the Rfam family "Bacterial small subunit ribosomal RNA", at positions 339 to 795 of the family's 1533-position model. The record is from RNAcentral.
CUACGGGUCGCUCCAGUGGGGAAUAUUGGACAAUGGGGGAAACCCUGAUCCAGCAAUGCCGCGUGUGUGAAGAAGGCCUGCGGGUUGUAAAGCACUUUCGGUUGAGAGGACUGCUUCUAGCACUAAUAUUGUUGGAAGUUGACGUUACCUUCAGAAGAAGCACCGGCUAACUCCGUGCCAGCAGCCGCGGUAAUACGGAGGGUGCAAGCGUUAAUCGGAAUUACUGGGCGUAAAGCGCGCGUAGGCGGCUAGAUCAGUCGGGUGUGAAAGCCCCGGGCUUAACCUGGGAACUGCAUCCGAUACUGUCUAGCUUGAGUACAGGAGAGGAGAGUGGAAUUCCACAUGUAGCGGUGAAAUGCGUAGAUAUGUGGAGGAACACCAAUGGCGAAGGCAGCUCUCUGGCCUGAUACUGACGCUGAGGCACGAAAGCGUGGGGAGCAAACAGGAUUAGAUACCCGAGUAGUC